Molecule: non-coding RNA, 253 nt
Organism: Pelobates cultripes (western spadefoot toad)
Lineage: Eukaryota; Metazoa; Chordata; Amphibia; Anura; Pelobatidae
Source: the annotation of a GenBank genome assembly
AUGUGCAGCACAGGAUCCAGCUGAUUCCCCUCCCCGGAAGUGACGGGGUAUAGAAAUCUGACGGAGUAUAGCAGAAUGAUAGAACACCCUCUCUCCAGUAUCUAUACUUACUGUCAUGUGAUAGUGGUGACAUCAUGAUUGGUUUCGAACUUGUACAAUUGCCUCCAUCCUUAAGGGGCUAACAGAUAUCAAUAAGUAUUUGUUGUAAAUUUUUUGUUAUUCAGGGGAGACUCGUUUUUCCAAUGGUUUCAAA